CGGUGACUCCCAACUUCUUUGCAAGUCCAAGUUCAAGACGCGAUCAGCUGGCCUGGCUGUCAACUGUCAACAUCGCCGCCGUGAGGGUUCGGCGGGUGCUGUCAGUGACAUUAGCUGGUCUAAAAUUUGUUUUACUAAGGAGUGUAGCAAAGAAAAGAAGACGAGGAAUAUCGUUUACUUUGGAACCGAACAUCGAAAAGACAAUGGAGGGAGAAGAGAUAUGUAGAGAGGACAGAAGAGAUUGCUGGCUGUAACAGAAGUCACACACCUGUGCACCAUGGAAGCCAAGCCCACAGAGAAUGCAGCAGUGGGGUCCAAACAGCAGGUGAAGGACUUGCUGGCUCACAUGGACCCCAUGAUAUACCUUGCUGGUACUGCUGAUAACACUUCUGAAAUGCUGAUGUACCUUGCUGACAUGGAUCCAUCAUUCCAUAAGCUGCAAUUGGUCAAGAGUUUAAGGCGAGGAAUGCGAGAAGAUCUAAGCAGCGCCAUUGAAGAGCAUGUUGAUAAGUAUCUUCAAGAACAGAAGGGAAAAAUGCACGCUGAAAACCCAGUUGAUUACUUGGUGGAUGAAGUUUUAGCAGAUUGCAAAUAUGAAAACUUUGUUAGAGAUACUAAGUCAAGCCUUGAGAGUUCGAUUUCUAAGAUUUCAGAUAACUUUGAUGAUGAGAUUGUGACUGGUAUGUUUGGUAAUGAUGAUGAUGAUCCCACAUAUAGUGUUAGCCCAAAUGAGUCUAAUGAAUCCUCCCUCAAUUCGUCCCUCAAUCAAUCCGGGUUGAUGUUCCUGCACCCUGCUCAGUAUGACAACAUAGCAGAGAACUUGAUGACCAAGAGAGAUUAUGAGUCCCGCAAUGAUGCCCUGAAUAUAUUGAUAUCAGUAACCCCCAGUGAGCCAGUGAUGCAGGAUGGCUGGGCAGACAUAAGGAGGGGCCUGAGGGACUGCCUGCUUGAUGAGUGUGGUGACAUCUUUGACAAAUCUCUGAAGGUUCAUUGCAGGCUUCUCACCUCCCAGGUGCACAAUGCUGUCAAGGAGGCAUACCUGAAUCUCCUUGAUGCUGUGGCAGGGUUUUAUUUUUCCAAACAUCAUGUGGCCAAAAUUCCAGUGCAAGGAGAAAAGAUACAUUUGAAGACCUGUGAAGGUAUGAUAAGGAUCCUAAAAGUAUUAAUAGAAUUUCAAAAUGAAUUUCCUCUCAUUUGGAUAAGAUAUCCUGAGAGGUUUGUUGAUGACAUGAUAGAGGCAACCAUAAGCCUUUUGGCACUACAGCCCCCCGGCAGAGAUCUACAACUGGUAACGGUGUUGGACAUGUACAGUGUGAUGGACCCUGAGGCCUCAUGGCUUAAGAGGUGGUUACAUGGCCACUGGGGCAGGACCAAGACCUUUAUUGCCAUGAGGAGUAACUCUCUAGUGCUCCUCAAUUCUGUGUCCUUCUGUAUUAAGUAUCUAGAGAGCUGCACUCUCACCACACACACAGAGCCAAUUGGAGAUAUUCUAAGUGCAGGUCUUGUCUCCCACCUACAAUUUACACAUAGCAUAAACCUUAUCUUGGCUGUCAUGAGUUUUCUUGAUGGAAGAAAGCUUUUCCCAGUGAAUGUUCCUUCCAAGGAUGAAUUGGUGACCUCACAAGGGAUUCUGCAGAUGCUGAUCAAAGCAGUGAACAGCAAUACUUCAAAAGUAAUAACUUCACAGAUAAGUGACUUAUUGUGCAAGUUCUGUUCCCAGGAUGAAGCAAAGUGUUCAGUCAUAUGUGAUGCAGGCAUCGUUGAAAUACUGCUGCAGGGGGUAAGCAGACUUGAAGACGGACAAGCUAAACAAGAAAACUCAGAAGUUAGGGGUUCAUGCACUUAUAUGAGGGCAGUGUUACAUCUGCUGGACACCAUAACAUCAACUCAUGUGGGCCAGAGGUAUAUCCUGCUGGGAAGGAAGAGAAAACCAAGCUCAAGAUCUGGGUUGUCAGGGACCUCCAGCAGCAUGGCUAGUGAAGUGUUGGAUCUGAUUCUGUUCCUGAUGAGGUGCAGGCAUGCUGCCUCAGACCUGAAGCGCCUUGGCAUCAGUAUUUGUAGUAGUUUACUUUCUUCCCCGAUUGGAAUUCAUGUAUGCAUUGAUCAUCCUUUCAUAGAGAGCUUCCUUGGACAUCUGAAGGAAAGAAGUCAAGCAGCAUCACAGGCAAGACUUACAGAUGAUGAAGAUGAAAGAGCCUGUGAGCCAUUCACUCUCAGUGUGCCUCAGUCUGUUCCACUGCUCACCACCUUGCUGCUUUCUUUUAGGGGAGUUUUCCUUCUGGAGGGAGAAGGAGUGCUCUUCCUUGCCAUGAGUCGUGUGAUGCCAGAGCUGAUUAGGAAGGGCGACCUCAACCCUAGGAUCCUUGCCCACCUAUGUUCUUCUCACCAAGGCUGUUCCCUACUGAGUGGCCACAAUGUGAUAUGCCCGCUGUGGGACACUGUGAUACAGGUGGUGAAGGGGGAGGAACUCACACAGGGCCGUCCACUUCUGCAAGAGGAGAAGGAGGAGGCCAUGGGGGUGGCACUGACUCCAUUACUCACUCUCUUGUCAACAUUCCAAGGCACUCGUCUCAUCUUCAGCCGGGAGAGUCUGCUGGAGCCACUCUCAGAGGCACUCUUCUCUGCCAGUGAGCUUCAGUCAGACCUCCACACCAUUGCCCAGCAGCUCCUUGUCUCCUCCACAUCUGUUCCAGAUUCUGUGGCAUUCCUCCAGUCAUCUCUUGCCUAUCAGGAGCAGCUACUUGCACAACAGAUGCAGAUGAGGGUUGUAGAAGGAGAGGCCAUUGCUGUAGAUGAAAAUUCCAUUCUGCGGAACCACAUCCUGGUGAAGUCAUUCCUUAUAGGUGGCAGUGGGGAGAGGCUGUUACCACCUCACACCCUGAACGAUGCCUUGCCUUCCAACACACCAGUACUGUUCAGCCAGUAUCCUCCCCCACGGGACUACAUCCCUGAAAAGCCCAUCCGAUCCAUGCACAAGAAACAAAAUGAAGUGUGGAGGUUCCUCUCGGACACUCGUCAUGGCCUGCAUGACGUGGGUUGGCUCAACCACUGCCGCAAAGCUGUUUGCUCUGUCCUCAAGUCAGGGGAAGAAAUCAAGAGUUGGCUUGUCAUGGACCUUAUAGACAGGACAGUGCGGGUGCUCCUUUCUAACCCCGAGGAGCUUCUUCCUGGCUGCCAUAUCCCUCAGCCACCCUCUCCAGGAACACCCCACAGCCUUGCCUCUCCUACUGUUUACUCCAAGGGAUGGAGUUUUUCCUCUGCUUCAACUCCCUCACCUAUUGGUCAGGAGAACCUCCAGAACUUAAAUAGGAACAGAAGUUCUGACUUGCAAGAACUUCCAGAAUACCACAGUGUUGCUAUAGAGCUUGUUCUUAGGUAUGGUAGUGAAUUGCAGCUCCUCAUUGCUAGUGGAAGCCUGCGAGAGAACUUGAUGGAUGUGCUGAAGUACACACAGUCCAACAUUCUUCUUGAUGCAUACGACAAAUGUGAUUGGUUCACAAUGGCUCUUUUCCUGGUGUAUGGAGGCAGUUAUGACAGAUGUGUGUCAGCCCUCACCAAUGUAGGAGUUCUGCUUACUGGGGCUGUGCUGUGGCCAUCCCUUGCUGACUCCCUCUCCCACAGUUUUGAAAUACUGCCAGGAGAGAUGGUCCUUGGUGGCAUCAUUCAUAAUGUUCAGCUCAUCCUUAGUAUAGAGAUUCCAGCACUUUAUAUGGCCUUGCAGGCAAGUGAUGCAUGUCUGUGGAGUGUUCUUGGGGAAUGGGUGCGGUGUGUGUUCCUGGGUGUGCUGCCAUGGACAGAGGUGUGCCACUACUUGGUGCUGGUGUUGCUGCUCGGACCAGACUUUACCAUCUACUUCCUGGUGGCACUGGUCAAGCACCUUCAAGGCCCCAUCACAAGGCAAGCCAGGAGCCACAAGGCAGUGCUUCAUUUGCAGACGAGUGUCAUCCGUGGGUGGCGUGCUGGGGAGCAGAUGGGCUUUAUGGAGGCACUGUGUCGGCGUCACCGUCGCACUGUGCUGCCAGCCCUCCUCAGGCCCCUCUCCACCCAGCGACACCACCACACCCCCAGGCAAUUGUAGUUGCAGGUGUCAUCAGGUUAACCACACAUGAAGAAACUGUUCUGUAGUACAGGUGACCCCAUUUAAUGAACAGAUUACAUUCACAAAAAGCCUUUUGUUAAGUGAAAUUUCAUUAUGCCAGCCCAUUAUAACACAGGUCGAAUGAAGUUUGGAUUCAGAUACCCAGUUUAUCCCCAUCCUCCAGUAUGAACCUCUUAUUUUUCUCAAUCUGAUUCAUUGUUUGUGCUUUUAUGACCCUACCCCUUAAUUUAUUGCUACAUCUAUGAUUCAAUGCAUUACUGAUCAAUAAAUUACAAAAAUAACUUUGCAUAGUUAAGGUAGGGGAUUAGGGGCUGUAGCCUUCAAUGUUUUAUGAAAAGCCACAGAUCUCAAAUAGUGUUUUUUGUUAAACAAAAUUAGAAAUGGAUGGUAGGGUGGAAGUAAAGGGGUAUGCAUUUUCUCCAUUAAUGGUGCAGUGGUGGAGAAGGGGGAUGGAUGGUAGGGUGGAAGUAAAGGGUAUGCAUUUUCUCCAUUAAUGGUGCAGUGGUGGAGAAGGGGGAUGGAUGGUAGGGUGGAAGUAAAAGGGUAUGCAUUUUCUCCAUUAAUGGUGCAGUGGUGGAGAAGGGGGAUAAUCGGGGUGGUAGGAGCAAGAGGAGGGUGGUUGAUUGGGAUCAGGUGAGUGAGAGAACAUUUGAUUUAAAAUUGGCCAUGGAAAAGCACAAAACUUGUGGCGUUCAGUGUUAAUUUUGUUUAGGUUUAUGAAAGUACAAAAGCAGAAAAUCUAUUCCGUCCAACAAUUGUACCUUUAAGACUGGAUAAUUAGUGGGCUUCUAAAAUGUUCCUGCACUUAGUCAUGAUGAAGCUAGUCUUUAUAUUAUGUGAUAUUAUGAAUCUUGUCAUAUGUAUAUUUUCUCAGUACAUCAGAAGUAGCCGACACAUUUAUUUAAGUUUUUAGUUUGUCAAGAUGAAGUGAAAGUAAUAAAAAAGUACUAUA
This is an RNA transcript of Eriocheir sinensis (Chinese mitten crab), 5051 nucleotides long. It is a transcript of the gene named protein broad-minded-like, with no coding region annotated. The record is from RefSeq and is a predicted model, not a curated record. The transcript is spliced from 12 exons. Lineage: Eukaryota; Metazoa; Arthropoda; Malacostraca; Decapoda; Varunidae.